This 584-nucleotide ribosomal RNA is filed under the name uncultured bacterium. RNAcentral describes it as "bacterial SSU rRNA". It matches the Rfam family "Bacterial small subunit ribosomal RNA", at positions 335 to 919 of the family's 1533-position model. The record is from RNAcentral.
AUUCCUACGGGAGGCAGCAGUGAGGAAUAUUGCGCAAUGGAGGAAACUCUGACGCAGCCAUGCCGCGUGCAGGAAGAAUGCCCUAUGGGUUGUAAACUGCUUUUAUAUAGGAAGAAACCCCGAUACGUGUAUCGGCUUGACGGUACUAUAUGAAUAAGGACCGGCUAACUCCGUGCCAGCAGCCGCGGUAAUACGGAGGGUCCAAGCGUUAUCCGGAUUUAUUAGGUUUAAAGGGUCCGCAGGCGGGAUUUUAAGUCAGUGGUGAAAGCCUACAGCUCAACUGUAGAACUGCCAUUGAAACUGAAGUCCUUGAGUGUCGUUGAAGUGGGCGGAAUAUGUCAUGUAGCGGUGAAAUGCAUAGAUAUGACAUAGAACACCAAUUGCGAAGGCAGCUCACUAAACCAUUACUGACGCUCAUGGACGAAAGCGUGGGGAGCGAACGGGAUUAGAUACCCUGGUAGUCCACGCCGUAAACGAUGAUCACUCGUUGCUAGCGAUACACUGUUAGUGACCAAGCGAAAGUGUUAAGUGAUCCACCUGGGAAGUACGUUCGCAAGAAUGAAACUCAAAGGAAUUGACGGAAU